This 404-nucleotide ribosomal RNA is filed under the name Fusobacteriota bacterium. RNAcentral's name for it is "Fusobacteria bacterium partial 16S ribosomal RNA". It matches the Rfam family "Bacterial small subunit ribosomal RNA", at positions 355 to 776 of the family's 1533-position model. Lineage: Bacteria; Fusobacteriati; Fusobacteriota. The record is from RNAcentral.
UGGGGAAUAUUGCACAAUGGAGGGAACUCUGAUGCAGCGACGCCGCGUGAGUGAUGAAGGAAUUCGUUUCGUAAAACUCUGUUCUAUGGGAAGAAAAGGACUGUACCAUAGGAGAAAGCUCCGGCUAAAUACGUGCCAGCAGCCGCGGUAAUACGUAUGGAGCGAGCGUUGUCCGGAAUUAUUGGGCGUAAAGGGUGCGCAGGCGGCUUUACAAGUUGGAUGUGAAAUAUUGUGGCUCAACCACAAACGUGCAUCCAAAACUGCAAAGCUUGAGUUAAGGGGAGGUAAGUGGAAUUCCUGGAGUAGCGGUGGAAUACGUAGAUAUCAGGAGGAAUACCGGUGGCGAAGGCGACUUACUGGACUUAAACUGACGCUCAGGCACGAAAGCGUGGGGAGCAAACAGG